This 1473-nucleotide ribosomal RNA is filed under the name Lacticaseibacillus rhamnosus. Its description in RNAcentral is "bacterial SSU rRNA". It matches the Rfam family "Bacterial small subunit ribosomal RNA". The record is from RNAcentral. Lineage: Bacteria; Bacillati; Bacillota; Bacilli; Lactobacillales; Lactobacillaceae.
AUUUUGAACGAGUGGCGGACGGGUGAGUAACACGUGGGUAACCUGCCCUUAAGUGGGGGAUAACAUUUGGAAACAGAUGCUAAUACCGCAUAAAUCCAAGAACCGCAUGGUUCUUGGCUGAAAGAUGGCGUAAGCUAUCGCUUUUGGAUGGACCCGCGGCGUAUUAGCUAGUUGGUGAGGUAACGGCUCACCAAGGCAAUGAUACGUAGCCGAACUGAGAGGUUGAUCGGCCACAUUGGGACUGAGACACGGCCCAAACUCCUACGGGAGGCAGCAGUAGGGAAUCUUCCACAAUGGACGCAAGUCUGAUGGAGCAACGCCGCGUGAGUGAAGAAGGCUUUCGGGUCGUAAAACUCUGUUGUUGGAGAAGAAUGGUCGGCAGAGUAACUGUUGUCGGCGUGACGGUAUCCAACCAGAAAGCCACGGCUAACUACGUGCCAGCAGCCGCGGUAAUACGUAGGUGGCAAGCGUUAUCCGGAUUUAUUGGGCGUAAAGCGAGCGCAGGCGGUUUUUUAAGUCUGAUGUGAAAGCCCUCGGCUUAACCGAGGAAGUGCAUCGGAAACUGGGAAACUUGAGUGCAGAAGAGGACAGUGGAACUCCAUGUGUAGCGGUGAAAUGCGUAGAUAUAUGGAAGAACACCAGUGGCGAAGGCGGCUGUCUGGUCUGUAACUGACGCUGAGGCUCGAAAGCAUGGGUAGCGAACAGGAUUAGAUACCCUGGUAGUCCAUGCCGUAAACGAUGAAUGCUAGGUGUUGGAGGGUUUCCGCCCUUCAGUGCCGCAGCUAACGCAUUAAGCAUUCCGCCUGGGGAGUACGACCGCAAGGUUGAAACUCAAAGGAAUUGACGGGGGCCCGCACAAGCGGUGGAGCAUGUGGUUUAAUUCGAAGCAACGCGAAGAACCUUACCAGGUCUUGACAUCUUUUGAUCACCUGAGAGAUCAGGUUUCCCCUUCGGGGGCAAAAUGACAGGUGGUGUAUGGUUGUCGUCAGCUCGUGUCGUGAGAUGUUGGGUUAAGUCCCGCAACGAGCGCAACCCUUAUGACUAGUUGCCAGCAUUUAGUUGGGCACUCUAGUAAGACUGCCGGUGACAAACCGGAGGAAGGUGGGGAUGACGUCAAAUCAUCAUGCCCCUUAUGACCUGGGCUACACACGUGCUACAAUGGAUGGUACAACGAGUUGCGAGACCGCGAGGUCAAGCUAAUCUCUUAAAGCCAUUCUCAGUUCGGACUGUAGGCUGCAACUCGCCUACACGAAGUCGGAAUCGCUAGUAAUCGCGGAUCAGCACGCCGCGGUGAAUACGUUCCCGGGCCUUGUACACACCGCCCGUCACACCAUGAGAGUUUGUAACACCCGAAGCCGGUGGCGUAACCCUUUUAGGGAGCGAGCCGUCUAAGGUGGGACAAAUGAUUAGGGUGAAGUCGUAACAAGGUAGCCGUAGGAGAACCUGCGGCUGGAUCACCUCCUUUCUAAGGAA